Molecule: ribosomal RNA, 253 nt
Filed under: uncultured bacterium
Lineage: Bacteria
Description: partial 16S ribosomal RNA
Rfam family: Bacterial small subunit ribosomal RNA
Source: RNAcentral
UACGUAGGGGGCUAGCGUUGUCCGGAUUUAUUGGGCGUAAAGAGCGUGUAGGCGGCCAGGUAGGUCUGCUGUGAAAACUCGAGGCUCAACCUCGAGAUGUCGGCGGAAACCAUCUGGCUAGAGUCCGGAAGAGGAAAGUGGAAUUCCUGGUGUAGCGGUGAAAUGCGCAGAUAUCAGGAGGAACACCGGUGGCGAAGGCGGGCCUCUGGGCCGAUAUUGACGCUGAGGAGCGAAAGCGUGGGGAGCGAACAGG